Mercenaria mercenaria is the source of this 2872-nucleotide long non-coding RNA. RefSeq lists it as uncharacterized. NCBI's taxonomy places the organism in Eukaryota, Metazoa, Mollusca, Bivalvia, Venerida, Veneridae. The record is from RefSeq and is a predicted model, not a curated record. The transcript is spliced from 4 exons.
GUGAUGGACAUUCCUGUCAAAAUGAUGCAGGUUUGGAUGAUCGAACGAUAGCGUUGAUGGUUUCAAUAAAUGUGCUGGGUGUUGCGGUUUUUGCUGCAGUAGCUGCCUUUACGUACUUUAAGCGAAAGGUUCCAAAGAUCUUACCCGAGAAUGAAAAAGAAGUUGAGCUUACUCCUGUCAAGCCAUUUAUAUAUGGGCCAAUUGCUGAAGUAGAAUAUGGGCCAUCAAAGCCUGUUUUCAAGACUUUUGUGUUGCAAAAUAUCCGAAACGCCAAAGAAUGAAAAACUUAUCUUAAAGAUUAGAAGACGUCCCAGGGCCACGAUAUUAUGUUUUCACAACGAUAAACUUGUUGAAUGAUUUAUAAGAUUUGAAAAGCAGAUGUUUACGAUUGAAUCCAGACUAUUAAAGACAAGGAAAAUCAAGCCUUACUAGAGUGAAAACAGCUGUUUUUUCUUCUCCAGAGGUUUCUUUUUCUGAAGAGUUUAUUUUACUAAGAAUUAAUUUGCCUUUGAAGGAAAAUAUUGUUAUUAAGAUGUGUUGCUUUCUUUUAUUAAUCUGUAUAUUUAUUUUAAAACAACAUAUAGCUGGGAUGAUUUUAAUCAAUGUGCAACUGUUAAUCGUCAUUUCUUUGUUUGUUUUUAACUGAAUGUUAUGAUUGUUCGAUAAUUUUAUUUAACAUUAGGCUUCAUGCCGCUGUCUUGUUAUAUGUUUUAUUUUUUCAAUAUGUAUUCCUUUGAUUCCGGCAUGUUAAAUGACUCGUCGUAGUCAAUAACCUUUUUAAAUAUCAGAGCAUUAUUAACCUGUUUGAUUUUUCUUUUUAGAUCUGAACUCUACGAACACGUAUAUCGGUUAAAAACACAAGAUUAUUAGGUUAUAUAACAGUAAUUUUGCUAAAAAUGUGCUUCCGUGGUGUAGUAAAAAAGUCGCUAAUAAAUAGAUCCUAAUUUUUCCAUUGUUCGCGCAUUUGCGCGUAAACCGGGGGGCCAAAUAGGCACUAUUUCACUCGUUGAAUGUAUUUUACAUAAAUAAGACACUUUUCAUGCUUAUAUUCGCAUGUUUUCGAGUUGUUUACUUAAAAACGAAAAUAGGAUGUUAAUUCUGCAGAUCGCUUUCCAAAAUGCGGCAAGAUGAAGGUACCUCACUUCAGUUGACUUGCAUUUCACUGCAUACUAUUCAACAUCCCGUUUUCUUUUCGUUUUCUUGAAGCAAAUGUGGAAAAUAGGUCUACGAUGGAGUGAAAAUCUAUAAACUGUAUCAAAAUUGAUCUGAAGCAGCUGAAUUUUAUAUGAAACAAAGAACAAUUUCAUUUAUUGGUAUACAGCCACUAUAGUUAAGAAAUGGAAAAUAUACUUGUUGGUAAUGAGCUGCCUUUGAGUUGACAUUCCGUAUACUAGUGUUAUAUAUUUUGACAUUCGACACCCGAUCCUUGAUACUUUGUAACAGUUUCUAUUGUGUGUGUAUGAUUUAUACAUCUGAAUUCAUGAUACAGAGUACUGCAAACUCCCAUUUUUAAUGUUAUUUAAAUCGCAAUUAUUUGCCAUGAGGUAGAAUUGUCCGGUGUGCUUGCUUUGUUAUACGCACAUGCUUCAUUUACGGGAACGAACGAUUCGCCGUCCCGAGUUUAAUUACAUUUGCUCGGAGACCCGAAGAAAUGUCCGCGGCUCCGUAUACGUUUUGUGUCCAAUUUCUAAUGAUUGCGUACGAUAUUAUUUUAUUUGCAUAAUGUUAAUAGUAAUCUUUGAAUAUUUAGCAACAUAUCGGGAUGAAUUGCAUUUGGUAUUUUGUAAUAUAGUUAAAAAUAGUCUAAAUCGCCGACGUUAUCUCCUCACAUUUUGCUGUUCGGCUACCUCCGUAAUGUGCGUGACGUCAUAAUUUUAGGCCCGGGUGAAAUUAAAUAACGCUGGGGAUAUCAUCGUGAGCACUUAUACAGAGUAGGUGUAUUUUUGGGGGUCCGUGUUUUAAGGUUAUGGGGUGGGAACGGGGCUUAUAUUUUUGUACACGGGAAUAAUGAUAAAUUAGGAACUAUAAUAUAACAUUAUAAUAUCAAUUAUUUGUCGCUUAAGGAUUUUUGCGGUGUAAUUCUUAGUACAUUUUCGGACUUCAAACAAGUUUAUUUUUCUUGUUCUUCUGAACGGACUGAAAUGCAUGCUGCUGUAUUUAUUUUUGUGGGCAUUGUUCUGGAUGUAAUUUUGGGAUGGGAUCAAUUUGUUUUGUAUUUGAGGCUCCUAUUUUGGCCGUUUAAAGUAGAUUGAAGGCGAGUUGACGCAGUCAAUCUGAUAUAGGAAAUUGACAUACAUUUAAAUAGUUCAAGGGCGAGACCGCCAUUGAUCUUUAUAGGACAGUUCUUUGUGCAUUUAAUAAGUCGGAGGCAAGGUACUGCCAUCGACCUUUUAUAGGAUCUAGAACUAUAAGUAACAAUUAAAUCUAUAUCGAAGGCGGGUUGUCGCCGUCGAUUUUGAAGAUGCUUUUUUUCUGAAGUUGAGCUAAUCCUUAAGGUAAUAAGUAGGAUUUUGCUAGAUUAAGUAAUAUAUUAUAAGGAGCCUCACUCUAAUUGUUAUAUUCUUUUUCAGGAAUUGAAUUGUUAUAUUUUGGUUUUUGUGCUAUGGGAUGGGUAGUUUUUAUGUAGGGUGUUGGGCUGGAACUUGGCGAAGUUGGGAAGUGGUAGAUUAGAGUUCUUGUUUAGUAAUUUUCUAAAUUCAUGGGGUUUUAAUUUCAUAGUAAACUUCGCCUCGCUCCUCAUAUCAUUCACUACGCAACAAGUCAAAUUAAUACUUGAUAUUUAUUACAUGCAUAAUUAAGCAUAUAAAAACAAACAGUGUUUUAAUAUUGUUAUAUACAUACAUCUAUCAUUAAAAACAAUAGUUGAACUUGA